Planococcus citri (citrus mealybug) is the source of this 916-nucleotide long non-coding RNA. RefSeq lists it as uncharacterized. The transcript has 4 exons. The record is from RefSeq and is a predicted model, not a curated record. Lineage: Eukaryota; Metazoa; Arthropoda; Insecta; Hemiptera; Pseudococcidae.
UGAAGUAAGUAUAAUGAAAAGUGAACAGUAGUGAUGAGCGAACAAAAAAGGUUCUCACUUCUCAAUCCAACACCACCCUCCAGCCCUCCCUCUAUCUGUUUCUGGUGAUAUGAUAUCUGAUAAGUCCCCUCCCUCCAUUGCCUUCCGACUUCCGUUGACCUUCAGUUUUUUUCUGUUCCAUGCGACAUUAAACUGAUAAGGACGGUGCUUCAUGAUUGAUAACGACAACGUGGCUACUGUAGGGCUACUGCAUGAAGUCUGAAAGAAAUUUCGAUAAUUCAAGUGAUUUGUGAGCAAUGAGAGUGUAAUGUGUAUCUAUAGUGUUUCGUGAUACGAAAUUUGAAAAUAUCUACUAUCUACCACCUCUAAGAUAAUUACCUAUGUCGAACUAAUAAGUAUAUCUACGUCGGCUUCGUCACUGUUUUUGGAACCAAAUUCCUGCGAUCUUGCCUGAUUGAAUCAUUUCCGAACUGUAUUCCAAGUCAAACUAUCGUUGUAGAUACUUCGACUAUGAUGACGAAAAGAACAUCUGUAUGAGAUCAUGGUUUUAGAAGUAAAAGCACUGGAAAAGUUCCGCUUGAUAAAUGAUGCCCGCCGAACCAAACCACCAAAGCUGAGACGGCUCGUAUUCAAUGUUCCGAAAUGGAAAUAUAACACGUGCCAACAUGAUUGAAUUUUUUACCAGCAUUCGAGUUCGGAGUUCCUAUUCUGCGAUGUGUAUUAGAAUUGGAUUAAUUGAUACGUAUCUGGAAUUUGUGUGGAGUCGAGCUGACAAUACAAGUGAUUGGUGGCUUUCACUAUGGAAAUAGAAGAAGAAAUUACCUAUGCAUUUUUCCGUGAUCCGAACUUAUAAUCUGCUCUCUUGGCCACGAUUUCUUGAGAAAAACUUGAUUAAAAAUAAAAUCAGAGAGUUACG